Molecule: ribosomal RNA, 253 nt
Filed under: uncultured bacterium
Lineage: Bacteria
Description: partial 16S ribosomal RNA
Rfam family: Bacterial small subunit ribosomal RNA
Source: RNAcentral
UACAGAGGUCUCAAGCGUUGUUCGGAUUCAUUGGGCGUAAAGAGCGUGUAGGCGGCCCGAUAAGUCCGCCGUGAAAGUCCAGGGCUCAACCCUGGAAUGCCGGUGGAAACUGUCGGGCUGGAGUCCGGAAGAGGCGAGUGGAAUUCCUGGUGUAGCGGUGAAAUGCGCAGAUAUCAGGAGGAACACCAAUGGCGAAGGCAGCUCGCUGGGACGGUACUGACGCUGAGACGCGAAAGCGUGGGGAGCAAACAGG